GUUUGUUAAAUGACUCAUUCUGGGGAAAUGUGGUACACAUGGAGAAGUUCUUGGAGACUAAAAACAAUAAUCAGGGAAGUAAGCAGAGUAAGGAGAUAGAAAACAGCUACUCUAGAGAGACGGACAGAGCAUGAGCAUGGGAGGGGCAGAGAGAGAAGGAGACACAGAAUCAAAAGCAGGAUCCAGAGUCUGAGCUGUCAGCACAGAACCCGAUGUGGGGCUCGAACUCACAGACCACAAGAUCAUGACCUGAGCUGAAGUCGGAUGCUCAACCGACUGAGCCACCCAGGCACCCCGAUAAUUGGAAUUUACUAAGAUUUUAGCACAGCAAAAAACUGUUCAUCUAAAUAAAUGGAUGGAAAUGGAAGAA
Acinonyx jubatus (cheetah) is the source of this 370-nucleotide long non-coding RNA. RefSeq lists it as uncharacterized. Lineage: Eukaryota; Metazoa; Chordata; Mammalia; Carnivora; Felidae. The transcript is spliced from 3 exons. The record is from RefSeq and is a predicted model, not a curated record.